Molecule: long non-coding RNA, 1962 nt
Organism: Neodiprion fabricii
Lineage: Eukaryota; Metazoa; Arthropoda; Insecta; Hymenoptera; Diprionidae
Exons: 2
Source: RefSeq, a predicted model, not a curated record
AGUUGAAGGAAAAAAUCAGAAAAACUGUUUAUAUUCUACUGCCGGAUAUCAGAGACGAGAGUGCAUGUUGAAUUUUCGUAGUUUUAUUUCAUUACAUUAUACCGAUUGACACACAACCACACGUCAUGAAAGUGCACUUGAAGCUGAUCGCAGAUCAAUUCGUGCGCAGCUGUGUUCAAUUUGAAUAUACAUACUCAUUUCCAGUCAAACCGCGAAUAAAGAAGAUGAUGAGGUAAAAAAGAAGCCGGAUCUGGGAGAAAGAAAAAAUUGGAAUGGACAGAAGGACCUUGGACCAUGAUCUUGCAAGUAUAUGACUGAUGAUCAGGUGGAAAAAGGUCGGACGAGUUUGGUAUCUUAUACAUAUGCAUAUUACAAGGUGAUGAAAUUUGACUUUAGUCGAUUCACGAUCGCGAUCUCGCUGAGACUUAAGAGAAAAGGAAGCGGAUAAAUAUUUUAGAAAAUUAUAAACGUGGUGACAGCAAAAUAUAUCGUUCACGAACGAAGAAGAUUCAUUUAGUUUCGAGGAAAACAAAAUAAGUCUUGCUCGUAAUUUUUCUAAUCAUUUAUUUUUAUUGUUAUUAUUACUAUUUUCAGAAAAUUUGAAAGAGAAGCCAUUUAGUUGCGGUUCGAGAAAUUGUAAAAAAGUUUCUUUUCUUUGUGUUUUUCGAAACAAACGUUUUCAUUAGGACUUUUGGAAAAUAAGAUUUCAAUAAACAUUACCGAUUUCGACUUUGUUAUAGUAAGAUUAUAUAAUAUUAUUUGUGACGUGGAACGUAUACAAACUCAAAUGAAAAUGAUCAUAAAAUAUUAUAAUGAUGACGAUAAAGUCUUACGCAGGUAAGGCUAUUUGCGAAUCGAUUAGCAGAAAUAUUUAAUAUGUAAAUCGUCUACGUAUGGCUGCUUAUGCUAUUAAAUGGUACUCGUAUUAUACAUACAUACAUAGAUUACUUACGUCAUUGGAGUUCUAUUAACUAUUGAUCAUCUGACGCAAAAUACUGAAUUGAUAAAUUCGCGGUAAAAAAGCUAUGUAAUGAAGGUGAAAAAUAAUAAUGAUCAAACUGCAGGUGACGGUGAAAAAGUGAUGACACAGAUGAAAAACUACACACGACAAGAAAAAACAAUUAGCAACCACAAUUUAUCUGAUUGCAAAAAAUGUUGAACCAAACAGUUUUCACAGAGCAUAGUUUAAAUUGAUUAUCGUUAUUCCUUACGUACAUGCGAGUUGUAAUGUAAUAAUUAUGCAAACGACGAUGUAAGAAACAGCGAUGACAAGAAAGAUUGGACAAAGUGAAUAUAAAAAUAGGACCAAAGAUCAAGAUGCCCUAGCCAUUAACAAGUUAGUGCAGACAGCUCACCUUUCAAAUAAAUUAUAUAGGAUCGUAUGACCGUGACCAUCACUCGUGACUCGCGACCCAUCGAUGGUGAUCGUCGUUAAUCGGUGUCUUCGUCGGGAUAUCUGCAUCAGCCCAAAGGCAAAUGAAAAUGCUAUUAUUGGACGAGGAAGAUUCUGCAACACUCGUGGAUGCCGAUAUUAUUUUUUUCUCAGGCGACAUUUUGUGCUUGUUUUGGGUAUGCCAGAUCUGGGAAACACAAAAAUGGCCCAAACGCGACGAAUUGAAAUCCCGUUCGCUAGUACCAGCAACCCAAAGUCGCGAGGUGGAUGCAGCUGGGACGCAACGGCCAUGACCUUGCAGACGACGUUGAGUCAGGGCUGAUAAUCGCGCGUUUGCAACCAAGUCUCGUUCUGCGCUUGACAAUUGACUCGAGUACCGUGUACAAUUAUUCCCUUCAUAUCACGGGUAAUUUCUGUACCAGUAUGUCAACAGCUGGAAUGAGGAAAAUGGCAGACAUGCAGAGUCAUCGGAUCGGAAUAUAAUUCGAAGCGGAAACGCAGAUUUGUUGUUCACGUUGCUGAUUUCAGUUUCAAGGGGAAAAAAAAAUAAAUAAAUAAAGAAAUAAAUA